This 253-nucleotide ribosomal RNA is filed under the name uncultured bacterium. RNAcentral describes it as "partial 16S ribosomal RNA". It matches the Rfam family "Bacterial small subunit ribosomal RNA", at positions 524 to 776 of the family's 1533-position model. The record is from RNAcentral.
GACAGAGGUUGCAAACGUUGUUCGGAAUCACUGGGCAUAAAGCGCACGUAGGCGGUCUGUUAAGUCAAGUGUGAAAGCCCCCGGCUCAACCCUGGAAGUGCACUGGAAACUACGAAGCUUGAGUCCUGGAGAGGAGAGCGGAAUUCCCGGUGUAGAGGUGAAAUUCGUAGAUAUCGGGAGGAACACCAGUGGCGAAGGCGGCUCUCUGGACAGGUACUGACGCUGAGACGCGAAAGCGUGGGUAGCAAACAGG